Molecule: ribosomal RNA, 1287 nt
Filed under: metagenome
Description: bacterial SSU rRNA
Rfam family: Bacterial small subunit ribosomal RNA
Source: RNAcentral
UAGCUAGUUGGUGAGGUAAAGGCUUACCAAGGCGACGAUCUGUAGCGGGUCUGAGAGGAUGAUCCGCCACACUGGAACUGAGACACGGUCCAGACUCCUACGGGAGGCAGCAGUGGGGAAUUUUGGACAAUGGGGGCAACCCUGAUCCAGCCAUGCCGCGUGAGUGAAGAAGGCCUUCGGGUUGUAAAGCUCUUUCGGCCGGGAAGAAAUCGCAUGGGCCAAUACCCUGUGUGGAUGACGGUACCGGAAUAAGAAGCACCGGCUAACUACGUGCCAGCAGCCGCGGUAAUACGUAGGGUGCGAGCGUUAAUCGGAAUUACUGGGCGUAAAGCGUGCGCAGGCGGUUUUGUAAGACAGGCGUGAAAUCCCCGGGCUUAACCUGGGAACUGCGUUUGUGACUGCAAGGCUAGAGUACGGCAGAGGGGGGUGGAAUUCCACGUGUAGCAGUGAAAUGCGUAGAGAUGUGGAGGAACACCAAUGGCGAAGGCAGCCCCCUGGGUCGAUACUGACGCUCAUGCACGAAAGCGUGGGUAGCAAACAGGAUUAGAUACCCUGGUAGUCCACGCCCUAAACUAUGUCAACUAGGUGUUGGGUGGGUAAAACCAUUUAGUACCGUAGCUAACGCGUGAAGUUGACCGCCUGGGGAGUACGGCCGCAAGGUUAAAACUCAAAGGAAUUGACGGGGACCCGCACAAGCGGUGGAUGAUGUGGAUUAAUUCGAUGCAACGCGAAAAACCUUACCUACCCUUGACAUGCCAGGAACUUGCCAGAGAUGGCUUGGUGCCCGAAAGGGAGCCUGGACACAGGUGCUGCAUGGCUGUCGUCAGCUCGUGUCGUGAGAUGUUGGGUUAAGUCCCGCAACGAGCGCAACCCUUGUCGUUAAUUGCCAUCAUUUGGUUGGGCACUUUAACGAGACUGCCGGUGACAAACCGGAGGAAGGUGGGGAUGACGUCAAGUCCUCAUGGCCCUUAUGGGUAGGGCUUCACACGUCAUACAAUGGUCGGUACAAAGGGUUGCCAAGCCGCGAGGCGGAGCCAAUCCCAGAAAGCCGAUCGUAGUCCGGAUUGCAGGCUGCAACUCGCCUGCAUGAAGUCGGAAUCGCUAGUAAUCGUGGAUCAGCAUGUCACGGUGAAUACGUUCCCGGGUCUUGUACACACCGCCCGUCACACCAUGGGAGCGGGUUCCGCCAGAAGUAGGUAGCCUAACCGCAAGGGGGGCGCUUACCACGGCGGGGUUCGUGACUGGGGUGAAGUCGGAACAAGGUAGCCGUAGGGGAACCUGCGGCUG